AUUGAACGCUGGCGGCAUGCUUUACACAUGCAAGUCGGACGGCAGCGGGGUAGUGCUUGCACUACUGCCGGCGAGUGGCGAACGGGUGAGUAACAUAUCGGAACGUACCGAGCAGUGGGGGAUAACUAAUCGAAAGAUUAGCUAAUACCGCAUAUCUUCUGAGGAAGAAAGCAGGGGACCUUUGGGCCUUGCGCUGUUUGAGCGGCCGAUAUCUGAUUAGCUGGUUGGUGGGGUAAAGGCCUACCAAGGCGACGAUCAGUAGCGGGUCUGAGAGGAUGAUCCGCCACACUGGGACUGAGACACGGCCCAGACUCCUACGGGAGGCAGCAGUGGGGAAUUUUGGACAAUGGGGGGCAAACCCUGAUCCAGCCAUGCCGCGUGUCUGAAAGAAGGCCCUUCGGGGUGUAAAAGGACUUUUUUCCCGGAAG
RNAcentral lists this ribosomal RNA (428 nucleotides) under Neisseria sp. oral taxon 014. Its description in RNAcentral is "bacterial SSU rRNA". It matches the Rfam family "Bacterial small subunit ribosomal RNA", at positions 30 to 447 of the family's 1533-position model. The record is from RNAcentral. Lineage: Bacteria; Pseudomonadati; Pseudomonadota; Betaproteobacteria; Neisseriales; Neisseriaceae.